GGGCCGGGGGAGCAGGGUGAUUGUUCCGCCUGAAAAGCGGAAGGUCGGCAGUUCGACCCUGCCCCUGACCACCA
Molecule: transfer RNA, 74 nt
Filed under: Microbispora amethystogenes
Lineage: Bacteria; Bacillati; Actinomycetota; Actinomycetes; Streptosporangiales; Streptosporangiaceae
Description: tRNA-Phe
Source: RNAcentral